GCUGGGCAUGGUGGCGCACGCCUGUAAUUCCAGCGGCUGGGGAGGCUGAGACAGGAGGAUCAUGAGUUAAAAGUCAGCCUCAGCAACAGUGAGUGCUAAGCAACUGAGGGAGACCCUAUCUCUA
RNAcentral lists this small RNA (124 nucleotides) under Marmota monax (woodchuck). Lineage: Eukaryota; Metazoa; Chordata; Mammalia; Rodentia; Sciuridae. The record is from RNAcentral.